GCCAUGGUGGCGGAACUGGAAGACGCACUAGCUUUAGGAGCUAGCGUCCGCAAGGACUUGUGGGUUCGACUCCCACCCAUGGCACCA
This 87-nucleotide transfer RNA is filed under the name Candidatus Peribacter sp. RNAcentral's name for it is "tRNA-Leu". It matches the Rfam family "tRNA". Rfam says of the family: Transfer RNA (tRNA) molecules are approximately 80 nucleotides in length. Their secondary structure includes four short double-helical elements and three loops (D, anti-codon, and T loops). Lineage: Bacteria; Candidatus Peregrinibacteriota; Candidatus Peribacteria; Candidatus Peribacterales. The record is from RNAcentral. RNAcentral also lists the same sequence under 1 other name.